GCCCCAACCACGCCGGGCCCGGCUCGAACUCCUAAAGCGGGUGUCGCAGGUUCGAAUCCUGCCGGGGCA
RNAcentral lists this transfer RNA (69 nucleotides) under Streptomyces afghaniensis. RNAcentral's name for it is "tRNA-Ser". Lineage: Bacteria; Bacillati; Actinomycetota; Actinomycetes; Kitasatosporales; Streptomycetaceae. The record is from RNAcentral.